UACGGAGGGCGCAAGCGUUACUCGGAAUUAUUGGGCGUAAAGGGCGCGUAGGCGGUUCGAUAAGUCUCAUGUGAAAUCCCAGGGCCUAACCCUGGAAUGGCAUGGGAUACUGUUGGAUUUGAGUUCCGAAGAGGAAGGCAGAAUUCCCGGUGUAGCGGUGAAAUGCGUAGAUAUCGGGAGGAAUACCAGUGGCGAAGGCGGCCUUCUGGGCGGAUACUGACGCUGAGGCGCGAAAGCCAGGGGAGCAAACGGG
Molecule: ribosomal RNA, 253 nt
Filed under: uncultured bacterium
Lineage: Bacteria
Description: partial 16S ribosomal RNA
Rfam family: Bacterial small subunit ribosomal RNA
Source: RNAcentral